CAUCAUUGCUAGCCUAUUGUGAGGUACUAAUUUAAAAAAAAACACAAAAAAAUUAUUAUUAAAAAAGCACUGUUAAAAUGAUGAAAAUGCCCUUGCCUUAGUUGAUACAUUAUUUUGGGAUGCCUUUGAAGUUUUUGUGCAUAAGCCAUUUUUUGAAUCAUGGCAUGCUACUUGCUACUUACACAUUUUAAAUGUAUUUAUAUGCGUAAAUUGACAAAAGGAAAGUCAAAUAUUUGAAGUAAAUGAAUAAUCUUAGAUCAUGCUAGAAGAAACCCCUCAUAAACUAAUUAAAGCAGCUGAAUUCACAUAAUAAAAUCGGUCUCUAUAGAAUUUACAUUAAGAAUAGAGAUAAUAAUAUUUAAUAAGCAAUUGUUUGAAUCACAUUAUUGAUAGCUCAUUGUGAGGCUAAGUCCACCCCCUCCUCCUUAGUGUAAAUAAUGUCGUUUGUUAAAAAAAAAAUCAUUUGACAACUAAUUUAAUCACAUUAUUAUCCACGUGCGAAAGACCUUUUUUUAUAACUGGCAUUACAUGCCUCUUAAUAUGUUUUGAACGUGUUUAAAAAUAGAACAACUGAUUGAAACAUAUUAUUGCUAGUCCAUUGUGAGGGUAAGGGUAAGCCCACCCCCUCUCCCUUAGUGUAGAUAAUAUUGUUUGUUAAACAAAAAUCAUUUGACAACUAAUUUAAUCAGAUUAUUAUCCGCGUGCGAAAUACUUUUUUAUAACUGGCAUUACACGCCUCUUAAGAUGUUUUGAACGUGUUUAAAAAUAGAGAAAUUGAAUCACACUAUUGCUAGCCUAUUGUGAGGUACUAAUUUAAAAAAUACAAAAAAAAAGCAUAAAAAAUCAUUAUUAAAAAAAACUAUUAAAAUGACAAAAAUGCCCUUACCUUAUUUGAUACAUUAUUUUGGGAUGCCUUUGACGUUUUUUUGUCUUUGGGGUAUUUUUGUCCAAUUUUGUUUGUUGAAGCUUGGUGACAUCAAAAUCACUAUUCACUUUUCCAUUGCCUUUAUAUAUAGACUAGCCUUCAUGCACGCUCUCACGCGUGUGUAGAAGGCAUUUUUUGAAUUACAGCGUGCUAUGUGCGACUUAUACGUUUUAAAUGUAUUUAUAUGAGUAAAUUGACAAAAAGAAAGUCAAAUAUUUGAAGUUGUUGAUGCACAAAAUCAGUGAGGACUUUGGUACAAUAGAAAGUGUUAAGUUUGUGACCUUCGCUAGAUUGCUUUGGUCACUAGUGUGGAUAAGUAUGUAAAUGGAUAGAGACAGGGAAGUAAACACAAGAUGUACGUGGUUCACCCAGAUUGGCUACGUCCACGGAGUAGAGGAGUUCUCAUUAAUUGUGA
This 1340-nucleotide long non-coding RNA is filed under the name Malus domestica (apple). RNAcentral describes it as "long non-coding RNA (MDOM_LNC012281)". Lineage: Eukaryota; Viridiplantae; Streptophyta; Magnoliopsida; Rosales; Rosaceae. The record is from RNAcentral.